Molecule: unclassified non-coding RNA, 367 nt
Filed under: fungal sp.
Lineage: Eukaryota; Fungi
Description: partial internal transcribed spacer region
Rfam family: Eukaryotic small subunit ribosomal RNA (bases 1-46)
Source: RNAcentral
AAGUCGUAACAAGGUAACCGUAGGUGAACCUGCGGUUGGAUCAUUACUGAAUACUCAUCCGGGAUUCCGCAUCGGAUACCGGACACGCUCCUCGGAGUUUUGUCCGGCGUCCGGGAAUCCCGCAUGAUAUUACACCCCCUUGUGAAUCGUUACCCGUAUUUUGGCAGCCGUCCGAGAAAUUCCCCCUUUAACUUAAGCGGGGUUUUUCUUUUUCCGGCCGUCAGCAACAAAAACAACAGAAAAAAAACUAUGUUCCUGAAAAAACGGAACUUUUUCAUUCCGUCUCACAUGUAGAACAUUUUCAUUUUUGGGUAUACAUGUAAAGAAAAAAUGUAAACAACUUUUGACAACGGAUCUCUUGGCUCUC